This 253-nucleotide ribosomal RNA is filed under the name uncultured bacterium. Its description in RNAcentral is "partial 16S ribosomal RNA". It matches the Rfam family "Bacterial small subunit ribosomal RNA", at positions 524 to 776 of the family's 1533-position model. The record is from RNAcentral.
UACAGAGGGUGCGAGCGUUACUCGGAAUUACUGGGCGUAAAGCGCGCGCAGGCGGUUCUUCAAGUCAGAGGUGAAAGCCCAGAGCUCAACUCUGGAAUGGCCUUUGAGACUAGAGAACUAGGGUACGGGAGAGGUGAGUGGAAUUCCGAGUGUAGAGGUGAAAUUCGUAGAUAUUCGCAAGAACACCAGUGGCGAAGGCGGCUCACUGGCCCGGUACUGACGCUGAGGCACGAAAGCGUGGGGAGCAAACAGG